CAGCAGCCGCGGUAAUACGUAGGUGGCAAGCGUUGUCCGGAAUUAUUGGGCGUAAAGGGCUCGCAGGCGGUUUCUUAAGUCUGAUGUGAAAGCCCCCGGCUCAACCGGGGAGGGUCAUUGGAAACUGGGAAACUUGAGUGCAGAAGAGGAGAGUGGAAUUCCACGUGUAGCGGUGAAAUGCGUAGAGAUGUGGAGGAACACCGGUGGCGAAGGCGACUCUCUGGUCUGUAACUGACGCUGAGGAGCGAAAGCGUGGGGAGCGAACAGGAUUAGAGACCCCAGUAGUCCCUGUCUCUUAUAC
Molecule: ribosomal RNA, 301 nt
Filed under: uncultured bacterium
Lineage: Bacteria
Description: partial 16S ribosomal RNA
Rfam family: Bacterial small subunit ribosomal RNA
Source: RNAcentral